GAUGAACGCUAGCGGCAGGCUUAACACAUGCAAGUCGAGGGGCAGCGAGGGUAGCAAUACCUGUCGGCGACCGGCGGAAGGGUGAGUAACGCGUGAGCAACAUACCCGUAUCAGUGGGAUAAUACAGGGAAACUUGUUCUAAUAUCGCAUAAUAUUAUUCAGAGGCAUCUUUGGAUAAUUAAAGUUACGGCGGAUACGGAAUGGCUCGCGUGACAUUAGCUAGAUGGUAGGGUAAUGGCCUACCAUGGCGAUGAUGUCUAGGGGUUCUGAGAGGGAGGUCCCCCACACUGGAACUGAGACACGGUCCAGACUCCUACGGGAGGCAGCAGUGAGGAAUAUUGGACAAUGGAUGGAAAUCUGAUCCAGCCAUGCCGCGUGCAGGAAGGCGGCCCUAUGGGUUGUAAACUGCUUUUGUACGGGAGCAAUAAGGUCUACGAGUAGAUUGAUGAGAGUACUGUACGAAUAAGCAUCGGCUAACUCCG
RNAcentral lists this ribosomal RNA (482 nucleotides) under uncultured bacterium. RNAcentral's name for it is "bacterial SSU rRNA". It matches the Rfam family "Bacterial small subunit ribosomal RNA", at positions 28 to 505 of the family's 1533-position model. The record is from RNAcentral.